This 73-nucleotide transfer RNA is filed under the name Onishia taeanensis. RNAcentral's name for it is "Halomonas taeanensis tRNA-Phe". It matches the Rfam family "tRNA". Rfam says of the family: Transfer RNA (tRNA) molecules are approximately 80 nucleotides in length. Their secondary structure includes four short double-helical elements and three loops (D, anti-codon, and T loops). The record is from RNAcentral. Lineage: Bacteria; Pseudomonadati; Pseudomonadota; Gammaproteobacteria; Oceanospirillales; Halomonadaceae. RNAcentral also lists the same sequence under 3 other names.
GGCCAGAUAGCUCAGUUGGUAGAGCAGGGGAUUGAAAAUCCCCGUGUCGGGGGUUCGAUUCCCUCUCUGGCCA